CGGGGGAGGCUGGAUCCUGGGCUGUGUCCUGGCGCAGCUGUGCUCCGGAGCCUACGCUGUUGGAUUCACGCUCCCGCCCCGCAGCCCCCU
RNAcentral lists this microRNA precursor (90 nucleotides) under Canis lupus familiaris (dog). Its description in RNAcentral is "mir-8799 microRNA precursor family". It matches the Rfam family "mir-8799 microRNA precursor family". The record is from Rfam by way of RNAcentral. RNAcentral also lists the same sequence under 1 other name. Lineage: Eukaryota; Metazoa; Chordata; Mammalia; Carnivora; Canidae.